CCCUCCCCACGCCGACUCUCUCUCCUUUUCCUUUGCCGUUUCCUACUUUGCUUUCUCUUCCCCAUUUGACUUUUCAACCAUUAUCUCUUCUUCUCUCUCCUCUCUCUUCUCCCCCGCUCCCCCAUGUGACCUUCUUCUUCUUCUUCUACGUUCUUCUUUGUGCGAACCAGACCAAAACCAGCAAAGAAGAGCAACAGCUCACCGAGGACCACCGUCACCCGUCCCGCCGCCGCACCGGAGCCGAACCGCCCGCGCGCCCGCUGCUCGUCGCCGUGCGCCGCCAGCCUCGUUCCUCGCGCGACCCAGCCCUGUUCGCCUCUGCCAGCCCCCGUUUCGCCGUCGUCCAACCGCCGCUCGCCGCCGUCCCGACCCCCCGGCGUCCCCCUCACCCUCCGCCGGCCUUCCCUCGCCGUUGUAGUCGCCAGAGCAGCCUCGGCCAGCCCCGACCAGCAACCCACGAAAUGGGUUUCCAGCAGCUUUAGGCCCGCUUUUGAGCCGUUUCCAGGCUCCGAACCCGAGCCGUGCUUUGGAGUUUGUUGUUCCUCGCGUCGCCCCCGUCAGAUUGAUCCGAUCUGCGCGCGAUUUGGUGAGUAAUCUCACUAAUAUAAGAUUAGUUGGCUAAUUAUGCUUAAGGUUGGUUUAGUUUUAAUUAAUUAUGUUUAGGUUGUUAGAUUAGAAUAAAUUAGUAAUUAUUAGUCAAUUGUGAUGCGAUUUAGAUAAAUUGAUUGUGUAAUUAGCAAGUAGACGUGGUCUACUAAUUAUUGAAAGCAUCUCAGGAUUUUUCCCGACCCUUCGUGGGCUUCAAUUAGGCUUUUUGGGCCUAAGUGGAUUUUUAGUAUUUAAAUAUUAAUUUUCGGAAUUAAAUUAAAUAAUUAUUUAUUUUCCGAAAAUUCAACUGAGAUGGUCCGGAACCAGAAUUUUAUGCUAGUGAUCGUGGUGAAGUCUGUUUAUUUAACUGAGCACCAAUUUGAGCUAAAUUGGAUUUAUUAUAAUUAAUUAUUAAUUCUCGAAAUUAAUUAAUUAAUUAAUUAUUUUCCGGAAAUUCAACUCGGAUGGCCUGUGACCGAAUUUUUAUGCUGAUGAUCAUGGUGUAGUUCGUUUAUUUAAUUGAGCUUUAUUUUGAGCUAAAUUGGAUUUAUUGUAAUUAAUUAUUAAUCUUUGAAAUUAAUUAAUUAAUUAAUUACUUUUCGGAAAUUAAGACUGAGAUGGCCAACGAUCGAAAUCUCAUGCUGAUCAUCGUGGUGCAGUCUGUUUAUUUAAUUGAGCUGCAAUUUGUAUGGAAUUGAUUUAAUUAUGAAUUUUUAUGAGUUAUUCAUAUUGACUUGAUGGUUAAUUAUUUGAUUGAGCAAUCGUUGGGUAUUGGUUAUCACCUAAAAGGAAAUACGUGGGCUCGGUGAAUGGGAAUUCACCUAGAGAAUGCACGUGUAUUCAGUGGUUGAAUAUGUCAUCUUGGCGAAGAGGUUGCCUUAGAGAAUGCUCGUAAAUUGUUGAAAGUUGAUCAUGCCUGUGUGGCGAUAGUUGAUCAUGCAUGUGUGGCGAUAAGUGAUCAUGCCUGUGUGGCGAUAGUUGAUCAUGCCUGUGUGGCGUAGAUUGUGCCUACGUGGCCGUAUUUCUGUGUAUUGAGUAUCGAAAGUGGUCGAGUGGGACCAUAAAGCCAUUGAGUAUCGAAAGUGGUCGAGUGGGACUGUAAAGCCGAUUAUCGAAAGUGAUCGAGUGGGACCGUAAAGCCAUUGAGUAUCGAAAGUGGUCGAGUGGGACCGUAAAGCCAUUGAGUAUCGAAAGUGGUCGAGUGGGACCGUAAAGCCAUUGAUUAUCGAAAGUGGUCGAGUGGGACCGUAAAGCCAUUGAGUAUCGAAAGUGGUCGAGUGGGACCGUAAAGCCAUUGAGUAUCGAAAGUGGUCGAGUGGUGGACUGUGUCUUCCACCUUUGCUUACGAUGUGAUAUGAGGAUCGUAGUUCGUAAUUGAUGAUUGAGAUGGAAUAAUCGAAUUGACCUAGAAUGGUCCGUCUGACAUGUAAUCGACGAGGUCGAUUGAUCAUUGCUUUGAUUUGAUGUUGUGAAUUGAUUGACUGAAUGGAAAUGACCGUGAGUGGUCUUGUUGGCAUUUAACUAGGUCGAUUUGAUCGAUACUUUGAUCGAUGAUAUGAUUGCUUGGGUGCCUAUUAUAAAUUGUACUGACUUGCAGGUGGGAUUUGAGGCCAAGAUAAGUUCUCUGCCCUGUGCGUGUUUAGGCAGCCUAUAGUAUAAUGGUUUACUAAUCGGGCUUAGUGGGGUAGAACUCGCUGAGACGUAGUCUCAUCCCAGUUUGGGGAAAAAAAUUUCAGGACCCCGAUGAGGAGUUGAGGAGGAGAAGUCUGGGAAGGAGAUCUUGGAGGUGAAACUUGAGAGGAAGGAUUUUGAAAGAAGAAGAUAAUACCGAGAUAGGCCUUGAGUAUGGCCUGGAUGGAUUGAGAUCCUAUCUUCUUUUGAGAUCUCCAUUUUGAUGUGAAUAGUUAUGAAGUGAUUUGUGUUUUGUAUAAAAGUUUGGUUAUAAAUUUCAAUAUGAAAAAUAUGGCCCUACUUUUCUAUUCCAGCGUUUUAUUGUCUGGGGAUUUUAACUGCUUCCGCAUGUGCUUAAUAAAUGAAAGGGUCAGCGAUACAUUGUCCUGAGAUAUCGCAUUAUAAAAUCGACCAAGCCAGAAGGAUGUGUGCGUGCCCAAGGAUCAGGGCGUGACAGGAGGUGUUCCCCUCUGACCAUGUGCUCGACUUUGCACCUGAAUACUAGGAUCGGUACUUGGAGCUAAUGAAGCUAAAAGUUAACCUUGACCUUUCUUACCCUUUUUGCUAAUAGGUCACAUAAGAGUUACCUUUUGUUGUAGGCAUGUACAUGUUAAACUCCUUAGGUUAAUAAGUUGAUAAAUAAAUCACUGCUUUUGGAAAUCAUAUGUUGUGUUUUACUAUCCCAGUUUUGUUGAUUGACUAGGUGUUUAUUUGAGUUGUUUCCACAUGUGUUUAAUCGAAAGAUUAAAAAAAAAAAAAAAAGGUCUACAACGCGUGUUGGAACAUCGCAAUUCAAUUGACCAUCGAGGGAUGUUUGCGCGCUCGGGGUUCGGGGCAUGACAUCCCUGUUUAAGUGGUAUUAGAGCUUGGUCAAAGUUUAGAGUGAUAAGGUGCAAUGGGUUUUGGGGUAGAUAGAUAGGAAAAACGGUUUUUCCUUAUACUUAUGCUUGUGAUUGAUUAAUUGUUUGGUGCGGGUUGCUCAGAUUUCUACUUCCUUGUUGGAAUUGGAAAGUAGGUUUCUAUAAGGACCUUGUGAGAUGAGUGAUCCUGAGCAGAGAGCCCCUUAAAGAAGGGCCGUAAAGGCUCUGACAAGUGCUGAGGGAAGGGCACCAAGAUGGGCUGGUACUAGAGGGAGAGCGCCGGUGUAGGUGUGUGCUAAAAGGAGGGCACCAAUUGAUCCUAGGGUUGACUGGAUCUUGUAAGCCCUAGAGACCUUGGGGAACGUGGUUGGGCAGUAAGCUUAGAAUCAAGCCAUCGUCCCCGCCGUUGCCGCUACUGCCGCCAAUGUUGUUGCUACCGCUACUGCACCUAUUGAAGUCCCACCUAAAAAUGGGAGUGGUGAGCGGCCUAUGCACAAGCUAGUGGAGUAGUUUCUGAGGCUAAAGCCUCUAAAGUUUACUGGAGCAAAUGAGUCCGAGGCAACAACCCUUUAGGUUCGAGAGUUGGAGAAGCCUUUUGCACUAUUGAGGUACUCAGAGGAGGACAAGGUGACCCUAUCCAUAUAUUUGCUGCUGGGUAAUGCAAGCACGUGGUGAGAAACCACUGAAGGAAGAGUGUUUCCUAAGAGUAUGGUUUCAGAGUAGGAUGCCUUCGUCGAAGUGUUUUAUAGGAAAUAUUUCUUAGACUGUGCUCGAGAACAGAAGAUGGCUAAGUUUCAACAUCUUUGCCAGAACCAGAUAACUGUAGAUUAGUAUGAGGCGAAGUUUGUCGAGUUGUCGGAGUACACACCAAGGUUAAUUGAGGACCCGAUGGAUAGAAUUAGAAGGUUUAGAGAUGGCUUGAAGCCAGAGAUUAAGGACCCGCUGGUGCCGUUUAAGCUCAAGGACUAUGACGAACUGUAUGAAAGGGUCUAACUGAUUGAAAGGAAUCUGAAUGAGUGGGUAGCCAGAUCUAGGUUGCGGUUUGUGCCCAACAGAGAUAACAAUCGAUUAGGGAAGAGGCCAAUGAUGGGAGGAAAGUAUCCCAUCCCUCCCAACUGAAAGGGUAGAAUGGGAAAGUGGGCAUCCAACUUGAAUGGCGUGUGCCGAUUUUGUGGAAGGAAACAUGGAUCAACCUGUGUUCUGCUAGAUUGGGAGCUUGCUAUGGAUGUGGCCAGCACAGCUAUCAAGUGAAGAAUUGCUCGCGCGGGCGCAUGGGAGCGUAGGCUGCACUACCACAGAUAGGAUAGGCAACAAGGAGUGUGUCGCAAAACACGCAACAAAGCAUUUUGAGCAGGCCUCUAUGCAAGGAAGAGUGUAUGCUGUCACCCAAAAGGAGGCGGAGAACUCAUAGAACGUGGUUAUAGGUACGGUCUUGUUGAACGACCGUGCUGCUUAUGCUUUAUUUGAUCCUGGAGCCACACAUUCAUUUAUUGCUAAGUAGUUCAUUAAGUUAGUGGGAAGCGGUCAUUAGUAUAUCCACCUCGUUAAAGGAUAAAGUGUUGUAUGCGAUAAGGUGUCUUGGUUGCAAGUCAGUAAUUAGUGAUCGAGAGGAAAGAAUAGAUUUGAUUGUGCUGGUGAUGUUUGAUUUCGAUGUUAUUAUUGGUAUGGAUUGGCUCACCAAGCAACAGGCUACCAUAGAUUGUUAUCGUAAAGCGAUUCAAUUUAACUCGUUAGCAGGUAAAAGUUUCAAGUUUGUUGGAAAUCAAGGAGGACUCUCGAUUGCUUUAAUUUCGUCACUUGAGGCAAUCCGGUUGUUGGAUGUGGGUUGUUAAGGUUAUUUGGCAACAGUGGUUGAUACGUCAAUUGAGGAGUCAAGGAUAGAGGACAUUGUCGUGAUGCGGGAAAUUUCUAACGUUUUUCCUAAAGAGUUGCUUAGUUUGCCUCUAGAAAGGGGGAUAGAGUUCAUGAUUGAGUUGGCCCCUGGGAUAGAGCCAAUUUCUAAGGCUCCUUAUUGUAUGGCGCUAUCAGAGUUAAAGGAGUUAAAGGUACAGAUGCAGGAAUUGUUGGACAAAGGAUUUAUUCAUCCUAGUGCAUCGCCAUGGGGAGUGCCAGUUUUGUUUGUAAGGAAGAAAGAUGGUUCGUUGUGUUUUUGCAUCGACUAUUGACAAUUGAAUCAAGUGACGAUCAAGAAAAAGUAUCCGUUACCAAGGAUUGAUGACUUAUUUGAUCAACUACAGGGAGCUUCGAUAUUUUCCAAGAUUAACCUAAGGAUAGGUUACCAACAAUUGAGGAUUAAGAAGGAGGAUAUACCGAAGACAAGCUAGAUUCAGUCAGCAUCCAGAACGCGUCAAUAAAAGUCACUCAAAUCUAGCAGCAAAGCCACCAAUCACUUGCAAGUUGCAACAGGCAUCACAACUUGAUCCACUCGGUAAAGAUCCCACUAGCAAAGGUGAAGUAGGUACUAGUUGCCAUCAAAAAUUGAUAACUAGAACAAUUUCAUCAAGUUCAUCAGCACACACCUGACAUUAGAUGUUGGUCGCAUCCAAAGCGGUGGUGGCGAGAGUAAUGAUGUCGGGGUGGUGAAGAUAUGAGGUUUUGUGUAUGUAUUUAGUGAUGUCAAGGUGCAAUGACAACCUUGCCAUAGAAAUCUAGUAAUCAAUUUGAUUAUAGGCGAAAUAUGUACGUCAGCAUACGUAAAAACACUCAAUUUUGGUAAAAAUAGUUAGCUAACUCUCUCUCCUCUUUGCUUUGCACAAGUCACUUAGCCCUUUCAAUGACCCCCAAAUUAAAAACAUUAGGGUAAAGAAGAGAGUUAUAAGCAUAUUCUUCCAUUUUUUUUUAAUGGGGAUAGUACUCUAAAUUUCCAUUUCAAAUACACUUUCUUGGGAGAAGAAUAAUACAAGUGCCAUAACUUUUAUACGGCACUUACUUGAGUGUAAUAACUUUAUUUUUCACUCACUUAAAUGUCACAUUGGAGAAAAAUCGAUCAUUUAAGUGACAUUUCCGGCAAAUCGUCCUUCAUGGAUUUUUUUAUUAUUAAUUUCCCAUUUUUACAUGGAUAUUUUUAAUUUUUUUAUUAAAUAGAUUUAGGGGUAUUGCCUAAAGAACGGAUAAGACCCAUGAUUAGGCACGGGCUCUCCCAAGCCCAUAUCUCAUGCGACAUUGGGGUGUUCUUAAGAAUUUCGCAAUAAAGAGUCGCUACUAACUUAUUGUGGUCGGUUAGAAAUCAAAUGAGGCAUGAGAGUACACCUUAUUUCUUACGCAAUCAAAAAAUUUAAGGUUAGGAACUUGAUUACACUAAUUAACCAAUUAAUGUUGUUUCGGUACCUAAUCUUGUUCAUUUAAAAAAAAAAGUUAUGGCAUGAACGUCUUCCCCAUUUUGUCCUUUUUAAUUUCCUUUUCUUUUCUUUUCCUUUCCUUUUCUUCUUACCCUUCACUCACUUGAAUUUAUAGUAUUCAAGUGAGCGAAAGAAAGUUAUAAAGGUUAUGGCACUUGUGCUGUUAUUAUCCAAUUUUCAAGGCCACAGAAAACAAUGAGAGUAAGUGAAGUAUUAGGUGACAAUGGCAAGUGGAAAUGAAAAUGAGUUUGCUAUUUUCUUGAAGUGAAAAUUGCAAGACAAUGUGAGUUGACUAUUCUACCCUUCCAAGUUGAUGGAAAGUGCACUUGGCAACACCAUCAAAUCAAGUACAAUAAGAAGCCCAAGAUUGAGUUUUGGGUCUGAUUGAGGCUGAAAAGGAACAAAGUGUAUGAUGUUAACAUAUACAAAAUAAGUUACCAAGGUUGAGUGAUAUAAUCUCGAAAGUGUAUUACGAAAAUCUGAAAUUAACCUAAUUCAUUCUACAAGUUAAAAAUAAAUUUCCACUAGUUUGUAAUAGUCAAAGAGAUGUGAAAAAAACCUUCUCUUAUGAAAAAUCAUUGAACUUAAUGUAAGUAUGCUUACAAAUAUGAUGCAAUUUAUUUUAAAUUUGAAAAGUCACUAGCUAUACAUCAAAAUUACCAAUUUUGUUAGGGNNNNNNNNNNNNNNNNNNNNNNNNNNNNNNNNNNNNNNNNNNNNNNNNNNNNNNNNNNNNNNNNNNNNNNNNNNNNNNNNNNNNNNNNNNNNNNNNNNNNNNNNNNNNNNNNNNNNNNNNNNNNNNNNNNNNNNNNNNGAUCUAUAAAAGUUGCUGCUGACCAAUAAAUUGUCAUGAAAACUUAUUAGUCAUGGAAAAAAAUUGUACUCAAUUGUUACUUCUCAUUUAUUGGAGAAUGUAUUGUUAUGGAAUUCAUUAGUUACACCAAAAAAAAAAAAAUCAUUAAUAACUAUAGACAGAUGCCUAAAUGCUUACUUUCUUAAUGUGAAUAUAUUUAAUUAUAUAUAUAGAUUCCGUAGGUUCGCACGUUGUUUCUCUUCUUGCAGACUGAAACGGACGGCGAUGAGUCGAUGACUCAAUUCGGUAAGCGUCCAGAAGGCAGAGUCCCCUCUGACAUGUCCUUUUCGUUCCUCCCCCACCGUCCCCUCCGUCGCCGCCUCGUGCGAGUGGACCGUGAGAGUUGGGGCUGUAGCCAUGUGAUCUCAGUGGAGACGUCUGUAGCCAUGUGAUCUCAGUGGAGACGACUGGACCCACCCACUCAAUGGUCAUCACUGAAGAUGCCAUGUCCGUUCGUCCUCUUCAUCCUCCGCCUCUCGCGCACGGCUUGACGGGUGCAGUGGCGGCUGGAAGUUGGCGUGGGAUUGGCUUUCGUGACUUUAGUCGUCCGCAGCGUCCGAGACGAGGAACCGGUGGAGAAAGAUUAGGGUUUCGGUGCUUGCCGUUUUAGCUUUAGGGGGAAGUUAGAGGUUUUUCUUGUGGUUCACGAAGAAGAAAGAUAAUUUUGGGCUAAUGCGGUUCAGGCAUUAGAUGGCAGAAGUAAUUUCUUUUGCCUUUAAAUAGGGAUGCUUAAUAGAAAUAACUAGCCCAGGACAUAGUUCAGGGAAAUUAUGAUUGACUGAGGAUGUUAACUUUGAUACAAAGUAAUAAAUGUGGUUGCUCCAGAUU
This 8136-nucleotide long non-coding RNA is filed under the name Eucalyptus grandis. RNAcentral's name for it is "long non-coding RNA (EGRA_LNC002254)". The record is from RNAcentral. Lineage: Eukaryota; Viridiplantae; Streptophyta; Magnoliopsida; Myrtales; Myrtaceae.